Molecule: long non-coding RNA, 809 nt
Organism: Sitophilus oryzae (rice weevil)
Lineage: Eukaryota; Metazoa; Arthropoda; Insecta; Coleoptera; Curculionidae
Exons: 2
Source: RefSeq, a predicted model, not a curated record
GUUCACUUUUCCAAUAGGGCUGGGCUCCAAACAUACCAGGGCAUACUCGAUAAGUUGGGGUAGCCAAAAUCCCUCCCCCCAUAAAAAUCUAAAAACGAUGAGAGGCCAGUCCAGUUGACCAGUCCCAUCAAAAAAAUUAAAUAACAUAGAACCGACCAAUUCAACCGUUCAAUUUUCUUUGAUGGUCCACGAAAUUUCCAAAAAAAUAGGCUGUGCCUGCAGAGUCUGAGGUCCCAAUCCAUCCAAAAUUUGUCCGUUGAAAUUGUUCUUCCCCAUUCCAAAGGCAGGUCUAGUUUAUGGGUCUAGUUCCAACGUCAACCGUUUGCAGGCGUGCCAACUGCUAUGGUGUUUUUGGUUUUUUCACUAGCAGGGAUGCUGCUUAAAAGUUCCAGAGUUCGAAAAGGCAGCAGAGACGACAAGCAUGACAGAUGUUCCAGAUAAUAGAUAGGAGAUAUAAGAAGUAUCCUAGAUGCAGUGUUAUGCUCUUAUCAAUCCAGGUUUUGAGCAAGAGGAAAUAAAUUCUAAGGAUACGGAUUUUGAUCAAAAAAAAUUUAAACUUUUUUUUAAUAAUUACAAAUACACAAAAGGUUAAUUAAUUACUAAUUUAUAAGAUUCAUUUAAAGGUCUGUUUUUUUUUAAAUUCAAUACAAAAAAUUGGUUUUUUUUUCUAAUUAGCAGAGCUGUGUCUAAAUUGUUGAAUUAUUUUUAUUUUAAGGUUUUUUUAAGCAAGUAUUUUUUCCCAUUUUGAGUCAUUACAAUACUUUUGUCUGUAUAUUUUAUAAUUAAAAAAUAUAAGUGACCAACACAAA